Long non-coding RNA from Solanum verrucosum, 209 nucleotides. RefSeq lists it as uncharacterized. The transcript is spliced from 4 exons. The record is from RefSeq and is a predicted model, not a curated record. NCBI's taxonomy places the organism in Eukaryota, Viridiplantae, Streptophyta, Magnoliopsida, Solanales, Solanaceae.
AAACCAGGUGGAAGAAGGGCUUACCCAGGAUUUAAGAUUGGUAUACGUUAUACUUGCAAGCUGAAGGAGAAUGACAAAAUAUUCGGUACGAAUAUUGGGAAAGGAGACCCUCUUGAAUUUCGUAUAGCUUCUGGUCAACUUAUAAAGGGAUGGGAAAUUGGUGUAAAUGGCAUGCGCGUUGGGGACAAAAGAAGAAUUACAAUCCCACC